CCCUUAGAUGUUCUGGGCCGCACGCGCGCUACACUGAUGAAUUCAACGAGCUCCCAACCUAGGCCGAAGGGUCCGGGUAAUCUUUGAAAUUUCAUCGUGAUGGGGAUAGAUUAUUGCAAUUAUUAAUCUUCAACGAGGAAUUCCUAGUAAGCGCGAGUCAUCAGCUCGCGUUGAUUACGUCCCUGCCCUUUGUACACACCGCCCGUCGCUCCUACCGAUUGAAUGGUCCGGUGAAAUGUUCGGACCGCGACAAGGCGGACGGUUCGCUGUCAGCUUUGCUGCGGGAAGUUCAUUAAACCUUAUCAUUUAGAGGAAGGAGAAGUCGUAACA
RNAcentral lists this ribosomal RNA (330 nucleotides) under uncultured eukaryote. Its description in RNAcentral is "partial 18S ribosomal RNA". It matches the Rfam family "Eukaryotic small subunit ribosomal RNA", at positions 1470 to 1796 of the family's 1831-position model. The record is from RNAcentral.